AUUUUCCAGAUUCCUUACCCUUCGGACCUAAAUAUUAGUCUGAGUGCCUAAAAAAAGGAGGAAAAAUAAAACUGAAAGUGGACUUGCAGUCUUUAGUGACAUACAAGUUCAUUCAAACUUAUGA
Molecule: small nucleolar RNA, 124 nt
Filed under: Echinops telfairi (small Madagascar hedgehog)
Lineage: Eukaryota; Metazoa; Chordata; Mammalia; Afrosoricida; Tenrecidae
Description: Small nucleolar RNA SNORA61 (ENSETEG00000026669.1)
Source: RNAcentral